RNAcentral lists this ribosomal RNA (253 nucleotides) under uncultured bacterium. RNAcentral's name for it is "partial 16S ribosomal RNA". It matches the Rfam family "Bacterial small subunit ribosomal RNA", at positions 524 to 776 of the family's 1533-position model. The record is from RNAcentral.
UACGUAGGGUGCAAGCGUUAAUCGGAAUUACUGGGCGUAAAGCGUGCGCAGGCGCUUGUGCAAGGCCGAUGUGAAAUCCCCGGGCUUAACCUGGGAAUGGCAUUGGUGACUGCACGGCUAGAGUGUGUCAGAGGGGGGUAGAAUUCCACGUGUAGCAGUGAAAUGCGUAGAGAUGUGGAGGAAUACCGAUGGCGAAGGCAGCCCCCUGGGAUAACACUGACGCUCAUGCACGAAAGCGUGGGGAGCAAACAGG